This 457-nucleotide ribosomal RNA is filed under the name uncultured bacterium. RNAcentral describes it as "partial 16S ribosomal RNA". It matches the Rfam family "Bacterial small subunit ribosomal RNA", at positions 338 to 795 of the family's 1533-position model. The record is from RNAcentral.
CCUACGGGUGGCAGCAGUGGGGACAAUUGGACAAUGGGGGAAACCCUGAUCCAGCGACGCCGCGUGAGUGAAGAAGUAUUUCGGUACGUAAAGCUCUAUCAGCAGGGAAGAAAAAAAGUCCUUUGGACUUUUGACGGUACCUGACCAAGAAGCCCCGGCUAACUACGUGCCAGCAGCCGCGGUAAUACGUAGGGGGCAAGCGUUAUCCGGAUUUACUGGGUGUAAAGGGAGCGUAGACGGCAGCGCAAGUCUGGAGUGAAAUGCCGGGGCCCAACCCCGGAACUGCUUUGGAAACUGGCGAACUAGAGGGCGGGAGGGGUAAGCGGAAUUGCUAGUGUAGCGGUGAAAUGCGUAGAUAUUAGGAGGAACACCGGUGGCGAAGGCGGCUUACUGGACCGUAACUGACGUUGAGGCUCGAAAGCGUGGGGAGCAAACAGGAUUAGAUACCCCAGUAGUC